Non-coding RNA from Marasmius sp. AFHP31, 96 nucleotides. The record is from the annotation of a GenBank genome assembly. Lineage: Eukaryota; Fungi; Basidiomycota; Agaricomycetes; Agaricales; Marasmiaceae.
GGCCGACUAGCUCAGUUGGUUAGAGCGUCGUGCUAAUAUGCGGUCUUUUCUCAUCCUGUAACGCGAAGGUCUUGGGUUCGAUCCCCACGUUGGCCA